This 160-nucleotide ribosomal RNA is filed under the name uncultured beta proteobacterium. RNAcentral's name for it is "partial 16S ribosomal RNA". It matches the Rfam family "Bacterial small subunit ribosomal RNA", at positions 335 to 488 of the family's 1533-position model. The record is from RNAcentral. Lineage: Bacteria; Pseudomonadati; Pseudomonadota; Betaproteobacteria.
ACUCCUACGGGAGGCAGCAGUGGGGAAUUUUGGACAAUGGGGGCAACCCUGAUCCAGCAAUGCCGCGUGAGUGAAGAAGGCCUUCGGGUUGUAAAGCUCUUUUGUCAGGGAAGAAAUCGGUUCUGGCUAAUAUCUGGAACUAAUGACGUACCGAAGAAUA